RNAcentral lists this ribosomal RNA (918 nucleotides) under Triticum aestivum (bread wheat). Its description in RNAcentral is "partial small subunit ribosomal RNA". Lineage: Eukaryota; Viridiplantae; Streptophyta; Magnoliopsida; Poales; Poaceae. The record is from RNAcentral.
AUGGCCCCCUCCGCCGGCGACGCCGCCGCCGUUCCGCGGUACCUUGCUUGGGUUCUCCUCGAAAAGGAGGGGUACGACGACGACCGCGACGACGCCACCAGCGCUGCGUGCAAGACGACCGCCGGCCGCGACGUCAGGGUGGGCUUCUACCUCGUGCCCCCGCCGAAGAUCUCCUACUUCCACGUCCACCUCUCCAAGCUCGAGGGCGAGGACGAGGACGACUUCGACUUCACGCCCCUGUUUCUCUUCUCGGCCAAGGGCCUCGUCCUCUUCCGUGUCCUCUUCGUCACCCGAAGAGAAGGAAGCAAUCUCGUCGAGUACUUCAUCUACAAGGCCGGGCGCGGCGGCGGCCCGUCGCUCGAACCCAUCCCGCCAACUCCUCUGGGCAGCGGCAGGGAUUCGGUAUCCGUGAGCAUCGUUCCCUGCCCCGACGGCGACGACAGCUACGUCCUCGCCGAUCUCUCUGUGCGGAGUGAAAUUGGGCACUACGACCUCCACCUUUACUCGUCCAAGACGCGCGAGUGGAGCACCACGCCGUUGCAGCUGCCGGCAUCUCCUGCCGUCAGGACAAAUGACGACCUGCCCUGUCAAUUCCACAAGGCUACCGGGCUUGCAGCAGACGAGGUAGGCUGGGUAGACCUCCGGCGUGGCAUUGUCACGUGCAAGGUGCUUGAUAAAGACCCACUUCUCCGACUCAUCCCUCUUCCCAAACCGCACGUGGACAUCCUGCAAGGCGAACCGGGGUUGAUCCGGGAUGUCACCUACGGCAAUGGGCUCUUCGAGUUCAUUGAGAUGCAACAUUUUUGCAGACCAGUUAAUGUUGUUAGUAGUAUCAUCCAUGAUUCCAAGCCCCUCCUUGGACUUGUAGUGGAUGAAGGUAUUACGGUCCCUGAUGGUUGGGUCAUACCAAUGACCUAA